RNAcentral lists this ribosomal RNA (510 nucleotides) under uncultured bacterium. Its description in RNAcentral is "bacterial SSU rRNA". It matches the Rfam family "Bacterial small subunit ribosomal RNA", at positions 19 to 518 of the family's 1533-position model. The record is from RNAcentral.
CUGGCUCAGGAUGAACGCUAGCUACAGGCUUAACACAUGCAAGUCGAGGGGCAGCAGGACGAUAGCUUGCUAUGUUGCUGGCGACCGGCGCACGGGUGAGUAACGCGUAUCCAACCUUCCCCUUAGUAGGGCAUAGCCCGGUGAAAAUCGGAUUAAUACCCUAUGUUGUGUCAUGAGGACAUCUGAAUAACACUAAAGAUUUAUCGCUAAGGGAUGGGGAUGCGUCCGAUUAGGUAGUCGGCGGGGUAACGGCCCACCGAGCCCUCGAUCGGUAGGGGUUCUGAGAGGAAGGUCCCCCACACUGGUACUGAGACACGGACCAGACUCCUACGGGAGGCAGCAGUGAGGAAUAUUGGUCAAUGGGCGCGAGCCUGAACCAGCCAAGUAAGCGUGCAGGAUGACGGCCCUAUGGGUUGUAAACUGCUUUUAUACGGGGAUAAAGCGAGGGACGUGUCCCUUAUUGUAGGUACCGUAUGAAUAAGGACCGGCUAAUUCCGUGCCAGCCGCCGC